AAUACUCUUACGGGAGGCAGCAGUGGGGGAAUAUUGCACAAUGGGCGAAAGCCUGAUGCAGCGGACGCCGCGUGAGGGAUGACGGCCUUCGGGUUGUAAACCUCUUUCAGCAGGGAAGAAGCGAAAGUGACGGUCCCUGCAGAAGAAGCGCCGGCUAACUACGUGCCAGCAGCCGCGGUAAUACGUAGGGCGCGAGCGUCCUCCGGAAUUAUUGGGCGUAAAGAGCUCGUAGGCGGCUUGUCACGUCGGUUGUGAAAGCCCGGGGCUUAACCCCGGGUCUGCAGUCGAUACGGGCAGGCUAGAGUUCGGUAGGGGAGAUCGGAAUUCCUGGUGUAGCGGUGAAAUGCGCAGAUAUCAGGAGGAACCACCGGUGGCGAAGGCGGAUCUCUGGGCCGAUACUGACGCUGAGGAGCGAAAGCGUGGGGAGCGAACAGGAUUAGAUACCCUGGUAGUCCACGCCGUAAACGGUGGGCACUAGGUGUGGGCGACAUUCCACGUCGUCCGUGCCGCAGCUAACGCAUUAAGUGCCCCGCCUGGGGAGUACGGCCGCAAGGCUAAAACUCAAAGGAAUUGACGGGGGCCCGCACAAGCGGCGGAGCAUGUGGAUUGAUUCGACGCAACGCGAAGAACCUUACCAAGGCUUGACAUACACCGGAAAACCGUGAGAUCAGGUUCCCCC
Molecule: ribosomal RNA, 679 nt
Filed under: Streptomyces sp.
Lineage: Bacteria; Bacillati; Actinomycetota; Actinomycetes; Kitasatosporales; Streptomycetaceae
Description: bacterial SSU rRNA
Rfam family: Bacterial small subunit ribosomal RNA
Source: RNAcentral